Molecule: long non-coding RNA, 279 nt
Filed under: Phoenix dactylifera (date palm)
Lineage: Eukaryota; Viridiplantae; Streptophyta; Magnoliopsida; Arecales; Arecaceae
Description: long non-coding RNA (PDAC_LNC011993)
Source: RNAcentral
UACCUUCUUCAUGAUCACUGGGUUGUUUGCCUAUACUAAAGACGUUCAGUUUCAAGGUCAUAUUGCCAAAAGAAAGCUUCAUGACACCAUUCCUACAAUUGAUCAAUGCAUUAGAAGUUGCAAGGAAUGGACGUCCUAAGAUGACCGGAAUCUGAGAUGGUGAAUUGGAAGCCGGAUGUGUGUCCAGUACGAUAAAGUCAACAGAAAAAUAGAACUUGUCUACUUGGACCAACACAUCUUCGAUAAUCCCUCUAGGGACCUUCACUGACCUGUCAGCUA